UGGGGAAUUUUGGACAAUGGGCGCAAGCCUGAUCCAGCCAUGCCGCGUGCGGGAAGAAGGCCUUCGGGUUGUAAACCGCUUUUGUCAGGGAAGAAAUCUUCUGAGUUAAUACCUCGGGAGGAUGACGGUACCUGAAGAAUAAGCACCGGCUAACUACGUGCCAGCAGCCGCGGUAAUACGUAGGGUGCAAGCGUUAAUCGGAAUUACUGGGCGUAAAGCGUGCGCAGGCGGUUUUGUAAGACAGAGGUGAAAUCCCCGGGCUCAACCUGGGAACUGCCUUUGUGACUGCAAGGCUUGAGUGCGGCAGAGGGGGAUGGAAUUCCGCGUGUAGCAGUGAAAUGCGUAGAUAUGCGGAGGAACACCGAUGGCGAAGGCAAUCCCCUGGGCCUGCACUGACGCUCAUGCACGAAAGCGUGGGGAGCAAACAGGAUUAGAUACCCUGGUAGUCCACGCCCUAAACGAUGUCAACUGGUUGUUGGGAAGGUUCCUUCUCAGUAACGUAGCUAACGCGUGAAGUUGACCGCCUGGGGAGUACGGCCGCAAGGUUG
Molecule: ribosomal RNA, 548 nt
Filed under: uncultured bacterium
Lineage: Bacteria
Description: partial 16S ribosomal RNA
Rfam family: Bacterial small subunit ribosomal RNA
Source: RNAcentral